GAUUGGAAGCGGCACCAGCUGAAAUUGGUUCCCGGUUUAUAAUAACAAAGGAAAGAACCGGCAUUUUUCUAGAAAUUUUAAUAGACGGUUUUCCCGUCUUGUGCUGUUUUUUAAGAGCUAAUCAAAUUCUAUUUUUGACGAAUUUUCGUUGAUUUGCCGCUACGUGCGAGUUGGCGUAAACAAAUUACUUAUACACAUUCAAAUGAAGAACAGCUAAUGGAACCACAUAUAUCUCAGACACGUGAAGUAUCAUAUGCAAAUGAUGAUGAUGAUGGUGAUGAAAAUGACAACGACGACCACGACGCCGCCGCCGCCCCGCCACCGCCGCCGAUGCUGCUCCUGCUGAUGAUGAUGAUGAUGCUGAUUAUGUUCAAUAUCACGACCGCAUUUGAACAUAGAUGUAGAAGUGGACCGCUAAACAUUAGAACUGACGUGUAUACAUGUACAUCGAACAAGCAUAAUAGGCUUCAAUUUAACCCUUUACCACUUAGAUACGUAUUUUCACGCAUUUGAAGUCCCUUGGAAAGUUAUAUUUAAUUUAAGACCUUUCUUACUCGAUUCAAGUUCUUAAGCCUUCAUCUACAAACAUUAGAUACUGAUGAGCAGCAAACAGCAUUAAACCUGAACAGACUGCGAGUUACUCGCAGGCUGUUCUGGUUUUAUGCUGUUUGCACAUAGCCAUUUCCACUUUGCUGAUAGGGAAAGGGUUAAACGAGUGUUCUGAUUAAAAAUAAGUAGCUUUUCUUCACAUGGACUGGGUAUUAAAGAUAAAGACCGCAGAAGCACAUUGGCAAUCGAAAUAGCGGGAAUUCUGUACCCCGCAAAUUCAUGUGUUGAACAUUACGUUAAGAAAAUAAGAACACUGUCAUUACAUUAUUCUUACAAAAUUCCUUGCGUGUUCCUUCCAAAAGGUUGUAAUCGUAACACCAUUAUACGUUUGCCUUACAUAUACGUAUCGAAGGCAAUUAUACGUGAAGUUUUCAGUGGUAAACCUUUAUCAUGAUUUUUGGCAAAAUAUGCAUUGAAAUAUUUGGUAUUUAUACCUGCUCUAACUGCCACACUUAAAAUGAUCGCAUUACCAAAAAGCUUUAAAAUUACGACGAAAAUGAUCACCUGAACACUAUUUUAGACUUAAAUAAUCAAUUUACAUAAUCGCGCCUGUAACUUAAGAAGCCUCUCCAAGCAAAUAUUCAGCAAUCAAUUCAACCAUGACCUACUUAAAUACUAUGGCUGUGCAUACAAGUUAACAUGUAAUAUAAUGUGAUUCACAUAACUACUGAAAACCACACUAUGGCGCAUAGGCGUUUGCACGUCACAGGAUUAAAGAUCUUAACUACAA
Molecule: long non-coding RNA, 1339 nt
Organism: Dreissena polymorpha
Lineage: Eukaryota; Metazoa; Mollusca; Bivalvia; Myida; Dreissenidae
Exons: 3
Source: RefSeq, a predicted model, not a curated record